RNAcentral lists this ribosomal RNA (533 nucleotides) under Salmonella enterica. Its description in RNAcentral is "bacterial SSU rRNA". It matches the Rfam family "Bacterial small subunit ribosomal RNA", at positions 1 to 523 of the family's 1533-position model. The record is from RNAcentral. Lineage: Bacteria; Pseudomonadati; Pseudomonadota; Gammaproteobacteria; Enterobacterales; Enterobacteriaceae.
AAAUUGAAGAGUUUGAUCAUGGCUCAGAUUGAACGCUGGCGGCAGGCCUAACACAUGCAAGUCGAACGGUAACAGGAAGCAGCUUGCUGCUUUGCUGACGAGUGGCGGACGGGUGAGUAAUGUCUGGGAAACUGCCUGAUGGAGGGGGAUAACUACUGGAAACGGUGGCUAAUACCGCAUAACGUCGCAAGACCAAAGAGGGGGACCUUCGGGCCUCUUGCCAUCAGAUGUGCCCAGAUGGGAUUAGCUUGUUGGUGAGGUAACGGCUCACCAAGGCGACGAUCCCUAGCUGGUCUGAGAGGAUGACCAGCCACACUGGAACUGAGACACGGUCCAGACUCCUACGGGAGGCAGCAGUGGGGAAUAUUGCACAAUGGGCGCAAGCCUGAUGCAGCCAUGCCGCGUGUAUGAAGAAGGCCUUCGGGUUGUAAAGUACUUUCAGCGGGGAGGAAGGUGUUGUGGUUAAUAACCGCAGCAAUUGACGUUACCCGCAGAAGAAGCACCGGCUAACUCCGUGCCAGCAGCCGCGGUAA